GGACCACCUCCUCCCUGUCCCGGCCACAGCGGUCUGGACACAUCAAGCACGGACAUGUUUUCUGAGCAGGCUGCCCAGAGGGCCCACACUCUGCUGUCCCCACCAUCAGCCAGCAACGCUACCUUUGCCCGGGUGCCCGUGGUGACUUACACCAACUCCUCGCAGCCCUUCCGGCUGGGGGAGCGCAACUUUAGCCGGCAGUAUGCCCACAUUUAUGCCACCCGCCUCAUCCAGAUGAGGCCCUUCCUGGUGAGCCGGGCCCAGCAGCGCUGGGGCAAUGGAGUCCUGAUUAAGAAGCUGUGUGAGCUGCAGCCUGGGGAGAAGUGCUGUGUGGUAGGGACCCUCUUCAAGGCCAUGCUGCUGCAGCCGUCCAUCCUGCGGGAGGUCAGCGAAGAGCACAACCUGCUCCCCCAGCCUCCUCGGAGCAAAUACAUCCACGCAGACGAUGAACUGAUCUUGGAAGAUGAAUUGCAGCGUAUCAAACUGGCGGGUGCCAUCGACGUGGCAAAGCUGGUCACAGGGACGGUCCUGGCUGUGCUGGGCUCUGCAGGAGACGAUGGGAAGUUCCUGGUGGAGGACCACUGCUUUGCAGGGCUUGCUCCCCAGAAGCCCACACGCCCCCUCGACACGGCCAGGUUUGUGCUGCUGGUGUCCGGCCUGGGCCUGGGUGGAGGCGGGGGCGAGAGCCUGCUGGGCACCCAGCUGCUGGUGGACGUGGUGACAGGGCAGCUUGGGGAUGAAGGGGAGCAGUGCAGCGCCGCCCACGUCUCCCGGGUCAUCCUCGCUGGGAACCUCCUGAGCCACAACACCCAGAGCAGAGACUCCAUCAAUAAGGCCAAGUACUUAACCAAGAAAACCCAGGCAGCCAGCGUGGAGGCUGUCAAGAUGCUGGACGAGAUCCUCCUGCAGCUGAGCGCUUCCGUGCCCGUGGACGUGAUGCCAGGCGAAUUUGACCCAACAAACUACACGCUCCCCCAGCAGCCCCUGCACCCCUGCAUGUUCCCACUGGCCACUGCCUACUCCACGCUCCAGCUGGUCACCAACCCCUACCAGGCCACCAUCGAUGGAGUCAGAUUCCUGGGGACGUCGGGACAGAACGUGAGUGACAUCUUCCGGUACAGCAGCAUGGAGGACCACUUGGAGAUCCUGGAGUGGACCCUGCAAGUCCGUCACGUCAGCCCUACAGCCCCUGACACCCUAGGUUGUUACCCUUUCUACAACACCGACCCGUUCAUCUUUCUGGAGUGCCCUCACGUCUAUUUUUGUGGCAACACCCUCAGCUUUGGCUCCAAAAUCAUCCGAGGCCAGGGUCAGGCUUCUGGGGCCUGGGAGGCCGGAAGUAAUAGUCCACUGUGGGGAGGGAGAGCCCUGAUGAGAUGGCCCACCACGAGCCGGGGCUCCUAGGUUCACAGGAGCCCAGUGGGCCGGACUGGGCACGCGGUGCACAAGAUCAGACAGUUUGGAUCUCGAGGCAACUCUGGCUGGAGCCUUGGGAGGCAUGAGGGUCAGUCUCAUCCCUGUGUGGGCCCCAGGUGACCUUGAUCCGUUCCCCUCUCCCACCAGACCUCAGGGUGGGAACCCUGAGGUCACUACAAACCUAGUGACCACACCUCCGCACGAGAUAGAGAGAUGAUGGAGUGGCCCCAUCCGAGCACUCACUCUCCACGUCCAGGGAAUGAGGGGGUCCCCGGAGGAGGGUGCCCCGAACCCUGGGUGGCCUCUCUUCCCUAAUAGGAAGAGCCAUGCUCUGGGACUCUCAGGGAACUCAUCCAUUCUAAAGGUUUCAGCAGAGUCUCUGCACCCAGGGACACCACACCUCAGCUUCCUGAGUGUCUGAAAAGAUGCCCCCAGGCCGUCCUUCUAGGACUACCAGCCAUGUCGGCAGGAGACUGCCUCAUCCCAUGUCACUGUAGCCUGAGAGUCCAUGAUCUCAUCACCCUCCACUUCCUAGCCCCCAGCCCGCCCCUAUCCUGCCACAGCACCACCCCCCUCACUCUGGGUCCCCAGCGAUCUAAGCACGUGUCUGUGGGUGUGUGUCCCUGACUGCGGCUCAUUUGUUCACUGGGCGGGUCUCCACGGAGCUUUCAACAAGGUCCAGCCCUGAGCGUGGCCCAGAGACCCAGCAAUCAUGGAGGUAUCCUUCCUCUGAAGAUGUUCAGGCCAGAGGGAACAGGAUGGGACGCGGGUUCGAGCCCUGGUCCGGGAAGAUCCCACAUGCCGUGGAGCAACUAAACUCAUGUGCCACAACUACUGAGCCUGCGCUCUAGAAUCCGCGAGCCACAGCUACUGAAGCCUGUGCGCCUAGAGCCCGUGCUCCGCAACAAGAGAAGCGACUGCAAUGAGAAGCCCGCGCACCGCAACGAAGAGUGGCCCCCGCUCACCGCAACUAGAGAAAACUCGUGCGCAGCAACGAAGACCCAACACAGCCAAAAAUAAAAUAAAUACAUUUAUUAAAGAAAAAAAUGCUCCUGGUGGAGGCGGUACCAGGAAAUCACUGUCUGAGCACUGUCCUGCAGGACCAUUUGGCUGCAGAGAUCAGAAACCCCACUGUGAUGAGUAAUUUUGUGUGUCCCCUGACUGGGCUAAGGGAUGCCCAGAUCAACGGUGAAACAUCAUUUCUGGGUGUUUCUGUGAGGCUGUUUCCGAAAAAGAGUCACUGAUCUGAAUCAGUGGACUGAGAAAAGCAGAUGGCCCUCCUCAGUGUGGGUAGCCCCAAUCUCUGCUUGAGCUGGGACGUCCAUUUCCUGCCCUCGGACAUCAGCUCUCUCGGUUCUCAGGCCUUUGGGUUUGCACUGAACUGCACGACUGGCUCCCCUGGGCCUCCAGCUUGCAGACGGCAGAUGGCAGCCUCCAUAACCAUGUGAAUCAAUCCUUCCUAAUAAGUCUCUCUCUAUACAUGUAUAUGUAUCCUGCGGGUUCUGUUUCUCUGGGGAACCCUGACUGAUACACUCUCUAAAGCAGCUGAGCCCUGACAGGCGAUCCCGCGGGUGCCUGGUGGGACAGAGGGCCACCACGUUCCCCUGCAGCCCAGCCUUCACUGUUCACCCAGACCCCUCCAUACACCAGAACUUCAGCCUGGACUUCAGCUCGAUGCAUUUCCCAGAGGGGACUUGGACCUGGCAACUGGACUCCACCCUAUACCUUAUUCCAAUUAGCUGCUGGAGGGGUCGGCCGUGUGCCCAGGUAUGGCUGCACCGGCCGCCUCCCCUGGAGCCAGAAGAGGACCCGAGGCCUGGGUAGGCCCUGGGCUCAUCUUCUCGGGAAACUGGACGCCAGCCUCAUAAAUGAGCAUGUGCCCCAACAUCUGCACCCCUCUGCCACUCCAAGGACAGAUUUUCCCGUCCUGAAGUGCAUUGUGACCUCAAGAACGAUGAGAGCACACCUGGGCUGUCCUGCUGGAGGACAAGACCACAGGGAACAAAGCUGAGACCAUGCAAAACAGGCUGCCACAGCCAGUGGGACACAAGAGGGAGACCAGCGAGACCAGCCAAGCUGGGCUCAGAUGGGCAGAGCUGCCCAGGCAGCUGGCAGGCAG
Molecule: RNA transcript, 3535 nt
Organism: Lagenorhynchus albirostris (white-beaked dolphin)
Lineage: Eukaryota; Metazoa; Chordata; Mammalia; Artiodactyla; Delphinidae
Gene: POLD2
Gene name: DNA polymerase delta 2, accessory subunit
Exons: 13
Source: RefSeq, a predicted model, not a curated record